UCCGAUAUAUCUCGUCAGCCGCAUCCAAUCAACGGAGGAUGUGGGACUUGCCGCUGUUGCCUGUGGAUACAACAGGGGGAGCUUGAAAGCGCUUGUUUACUGUGGAGAGAGGCAGUCUGACCGGAGGAGACGUGUGUAACGGACGCAUUUCCCGCAGAUGGGAUAAAAGCGAAGCGCAUGGCACCAGUUAUCCACAGCGUCGCUACAGACAAACACAAACUCCUGGUUUUGUUGUAGAUGCUCAUCGGCUGUUAAUAGAACCUUUGGGGGUUUUCCCUUUCAUGACUGGUGCGUGUCUGUCUGGUUUGCUUUAGGACAAAAGAAGGAUAACUGUCGUUUCGUCUUUGCCCACAAGCUUUUUACUGGACCGGACGCACUGGGUGAGAUGGAUAUCGAAAAGUACCUGCCACAGCUGAUGGCGGAGAAGGAUUCUCUGGACCCGUCCUUCCAACAAUCCUUGCGGCUUCUGGAUCAAGAAAUUGAAAAGAUUCAGAAAGAUGAAGACAAAGAGGAUGAGAAGUUCAUUGAUGUGGUCAUUAAUAAGAACAUGAAACUGGGCCAGAAGGUGUUGAUCCCAGUAAAACAGUUUCCCAAAUUUAAUUUUGUGGGUAAACUCCUGGGUCCCCGAGGGAACUCAUUAAAACGGCUACAAGAGGACACGCUGACCAAGAUGUCCAUCCUCGGCAAAGGAUCCAUGAGAGACAAAGAAAAGGAGGAGGAACUUCGAAAGAGUGGCGAGGCAAAGUAUCAACACCUCAAUGAAGAUCUUCACGUUCUGAUCGAGGUCUUCGCCCCACCUGCAGAAGCAUAUGCGAGAAUGGGUCACGCGCUGGAGGAGAUCAAGAAAUUCCUUAUUCCGGACUAUAACGAUGAGAUCAGACAUGCUCAACUACAGGAACUAACGUAUCUGAACGGAGCCUCGGAGGACGCGAAGGUUCCCGCUGCGAGAGGAAAAACAAGCACGCGCGCACGAGGAACGCCAGCGCCAGGCGUGCACAGGGGUAGGGGAGGGGUUCCUCCUCCUCAUGCUGCAGUUCCACGUGGGGCGGCGCCCAGAGGAGCUCCGCCCAGCAGAGUUCCGUCCAGCAGAGCCAGGGGCGUUCCCUCACAGAGAGCGAGAGGAGCUCCGCCCCCAGCAGGAUACAGACCUCCCCCUCCGGUGGUGCAGGAUACAUACAGUGAAUAUGAAUACGAUGAUGAAUACGGAACGGCUUACGAUGACCAGGGAUAUGAUUCAUAUGACAGCUACAGCAACCAGGCACAGAAUUCAGAGGAUUAUUAUGAAUACAGUCAUGGCAUGAGUGGAGAAUCAUAUGAAUCUUACGGCCCGGAGGAAUGGACAAACGGCCGUAAAAAGGCGCCACCAUCAAGGACGAGCAAAGGAGUUUACAGAGAGCAACCGUAUUCCCGGUUCUGACCUGCUACACUCCUUCCCGUGCCCCCUCAAGUUGUUGUAGCUGGGCCUGCAGUCAUGAAAUCCAGUAAAACGUCUCUGUUUGUCCCGAACAGACAAAAGCCUCUAAAGCCGGGGAGGAUAAACAGAUGAGCUGUUGAGAGAAGAGAACCGGACAGAUCAGAUCGGACCGGACCGGACACAGUGUCCUCUUGCUGUCUCUGUGUCUGAUAACUGCGGUUUAAUCCUGUUAUCUGAUCUUGAAAACUCACUGCUUGACCACCAGCGUGAAGAGCACACACUCGGCACGAAGAACACAAAAAGCCCCUUGUGGUCUACGGAGAAGAACAGCGCUCCGCAGGGAAGACUACAUUUCCACUGGAACUGUCUCAAAAAGGCUCCAGAACCUUUACAAGGUCAAGAAGUGCCACACUAAGAGCGCUAUUGUUGCAAUAACAGAUUGGUCAACCUUUCUCUCGCUCAGGAAAUGGAGUUCUCCAUUCCUCUUGGGAGAACGCUAUGAGGAAUUUGUGCUUUCCGCAGCUGGCUCGCGCUCGCUUUAUAGGUUCCUACAUGCAUUUUGCAGCAGGCUGCACUGAUGGUGAACCCACUUCUGUCUGCGCAGAGGAUUAUGGGUAAUGGGGGCAUGUGUGGUACGCUAACACAUUAAGACAGGAAUUUUUACUCUGGAGAACCACGUAGAUGAUCAUUUGGAAUAACACGGAUGUCUUCUACACUUUGAGUUUUUCUUGCAAAUCCCUGCGGACCAAAGCUUUUGUGUUUUUGUAUAGUAUGCGCAGAGCUAAAUGCAUGAAAUGUAUACAUCCUGUAAAAUCACCGACAACAGUUGUUGUGGAAUUGAUUACUAUGUUCAUGUAAAAGCAUUGGACUGUACAUUCCUGUACUGUUAUGCCAUAAACACUGGCUCAUUUUACUUCUGCUCUGGUUUCCAUUGAUCAGUCUGAAUGUUUUGGACGAUCUUCACGUUGUUCUGAAACGGAUACAGUGAGUGUGUUCACUUCUCAUCCAGUGUUACUGGUCUUAUGUGGUCUCAUAAAACAUUAAAAGGUGAAUUUGAGAAUCUGCAUACGCCAACAGCCCACAUAUCUAUAACAACCUGCAGUUAUAUUCUCAAUAAGUCAAUAUGAAGUCAAAAUUGUCCCUAUUUACUUUCCUGAAAUGAUUGAUUAUUUAAAUUAUUAAUAUUUCUUAAUAUUUUAUCUAAAUGCUCUGCCUUUAAAGGGGUUAUAUGACACGGCUAAAACGAAUAUUAUUGUUUGUUUUAGAUUUAAUGCAAUGUGUAUACACAAUUUAAGGUUCAAAAACGCUGUAUUUUCCACAUAUCGUGCAUGUUUGUAUCUCCUCUUUGCCCCGCCUCUCUGAAACGUGCAGAUUUUUGACAAAGCUCAUGGCUCUGAAAAGCGAGGUGUGCUAUGAUUGGCCAGUUAACCAGUGCGUAGUGAUUGGUGGAAUACUGCAAGCGUGUGACGGAAAUGUAACGCCUCUUACCAUAUUUUGAACAUCAGGUUCCUCUUCAAUUGUACUGACAGGUACGCCCACCUUACUUGCAUAUACAUUUGGGCGGUCUUAGUCAAAUCUUACCACGAACUGAUGUGGAUUUGUGGGUGUGUGGUUACACGAGGUGUUUCAGGCAGGUCUGGGUGAGCAUUCGCUUUUAGAUAGAAUGCAUCUUAUUUUGCAAUUUUACGUGUCUAAUACAUGCAUGGGCACCUUAUAAUACACCAAAGACACAGAAAAACACGUAUUCGCGCCAUAUGACCCCUUUAAACAACUUUAAUUUAUUAUUAUUUGUUACUUUUUCCUGUCAGUUAACAAAAAUGAGGCAAAUCUUCCCAGAUAUAAAUACAUUUCUGUCCCUUUAAAAUGGUGGCUGACACUAAUGUAAAACUCAUUUUUUGUACCCUUCAUAAUAACAUAAUAUAUAUUUUUAUAAAAAAUAUAAAUCCAGCUCUUUAACUCAAUAGAUUUCAUCACUCGACCCUUUUAUUUCACUCUCGUUUUCACCUUUAUUAAACCUCUGUGAUCACAUGUAAAAGUUCCUGUGUGUUCCUAAGCCGUUGUGAUUUACAAAGAUCAAUAAGAUCUUUGGUCGAGUCUUUGAAGUUGAUGUCCUGACAGAUAGCUGUUUGAACAGGUAUUAAGCCCAACACUGUGGCGCAUAUGCAAAUUCACCCAGCGGCAGGUCUUCUGUGUCAGUCAGAGGUCAGUUUCAGGCCUGAGUCAUGGUCUCGUCCGUAAUAGAACUGGUUUUAGUCACUGCAAAAUUUGCCCUCUGCUUGGUAUUGCCUAAGCACACAAAGAAAAGGUGUGACAAGGGCUGAAACAAUUAUGAAAAUUGGACUUAAUUGCAUAUAAAUGAUUUUGAUUAUUUGCAUAAUGUCGGUAAGUUUUCUAUCUGACUGUGUCCAGUUGGGGUGGAGGGUGCUUAAUUGCCAUGUAAAUGUCACAAUGACAACAUUUUUAUUUUUAUUAAAGCGGCCGUGCAAUGGUGUUUCAUGCAUUCAGAGUUAUUUACUCAUGCUUAAAGCGGCAACGAGUAAUUUUUGCUUACUGUUGCCCCACGUGGUUGAUAAGCGGAAUUGUCUGUAUGCAGUGUUGUAAAAACUGUCGCAAAGAUUUCCCGCUGACAGCUCAAUACACGUGAGUUUGUUUACUAGGCCGACGGACCCAGAUACGUCAUUCAAACUAUGUCCACCGAUCAGGUAAAGUAGUCCGUGUUACCAUAUGUUCUUCGUAUAUCAGUACAAAGAUUUAUUUAUCGUUUCUCCAUAAUUAUAAACUGUAAUGUCAACAAAGAACGGUAAGUAAACCUAGUUGUUUUUGCUUGCAUAGUUGGUCUCGUGUAUGUAUCUCGCGUAUGUAACUUAGCAUUGUUUGCAAAGGGUGUCAUUUGUAUAAUAUAAUGAAAUAUUGUCCACAAAAUCAUGUAUCAUGCAACAAUGUCCAUAGUAGCUUAUACAGCAUACAUUGUCAUAAGUUUAUAAGGUUGUAUCAUAGCAUAGCAUACCACACGGGUGCCAACACUAUGGGCUGUACUACAGGGCUAUACUACAACCUCAAAGUAGACUCAGGGGUAGCAGCUGAUUGUUAUAAGUUAGCACAGAGCGUGCUAGCUACAUGGAACAUUUGUAUUUACCCGAAACACAACGCAUGGUCUUGAAUGUGUUUUGUAACCUAUAGUACUUUUCUUUUGUUAUUAUAUCGGAAGUCACUAAACACAAUCGCGACCAGGCGUUGUGUUUUGUGUAAUAUAUGUAAUAUCUAGUCAACUCGGUAUGAAAACAGCGCAUAGCAUGUAUAUAUAUAAUGACAACAUUAGCCUAAUCAACGACUGAACUGUUCAACAUUCACGUGGUUUACUGGUCUGAACAAAAUAAUCUGUUACUUUUUACCACAACACGUUUAGUGUGGUUGUUUAGUCUUUAUUUACAAGCACUACACACAUUCAUGACGAGACACGACAACAUACUAGCUAUCGACACCGGCAAUCAUAUAUUAUCUCUCAGCUACCUUACGCUUAUAAAGUGUGAACCGGUGGUGCGCCAAUGACACAGACUAAUAACAAAUACGUUCAAAAGUACAGGACAGUAACAAAAAAUGUACAAAUAACACUUACAAAUCCAGGAGCAGGACCGCUAGGUCUCCAUCUGUUUUGCAACCCGUUGCCUCUUGCUGCUCACGCCUCCGAGUGUAAGCCCGUCCGAUAUUGAUUCGUGACCGGCCUCGUGUCCGAUCACUCUCUCGCUUUCUUUGCUUCCUCCAACAAAACCCUCUUUGGUUUUUUGGCUGGCUCUGCCAUGGUAAUGUUUUGGUUCGUUUCGUCUUACUGUUAGCUCUGCUGUUGACUAACUUCUCCCAGGCUACGACUAAAACUGCCGUAAAGCAGGGGAUAGGCGGGGCUUUUACCGGCCCGAAUACCAAAAUUACAAGUGCAGUUUCAGCCUAUAGGAGGCUGCUCAGGUAGCAACGGCAGUAAAAUUUGUCCAGUUAAAAGUUGACCUACCACUAAAAUAAUUUUAGAGACAUUAUUUUAAGGUCAAAAAGUUGCUCGUUGUUGCUUUAACAUGGUCAACUUGUCAAAAAACGAGUUAGACGUAUGGCGUAGUAUUUCUGUGCUCGAUACACUCAGCGUUCGUACAGGUUUCGGAAAGUUUUUUUCGAACAUAAAAAUUUGUUUCGUAGCAACUUCUUAGUCCCUUAUUGGACAAUUCUCCUGGAAAAGCACGCGGCACGCUUCAACCAAGGACAGCGGGAGAAGGAGCAUGCGCACAAGUCACUUUCACUUGCGUGCAGGAGACAGUGAGAGCACUACGUUUGCGAAGUUCAGCUGUAUUUGUUUGUUCGCUGCAUUUGGGUGAUGAAUGUUAUAUAAACGGUGGAUAUAACGCUGGAUUUGGAGAUCGUUUGAAUCUGAUAGAUGGAACGGCGGUCCCAGCGAUAAAAGAUGCCGGACAUGAACCGCAAGUGAAACUGUUGUCCCUCCCACACGCAUCGUAUGUUUUCGGAAAUAAUCGUACAGCUGUAUCUGUCUUUUAUAAAUGUGAUCAAACUAAAGACUACAGAUAUUUGAAGGGUGUGAUACUAUCCUGUAAGUACUCAAGAUUAACAUGAGAUAUGCAGAAACUGUCUGAGAUACGGCCGCUUUAAGUCUUCUUUAUGCAAAAUAUAAUUCCUUUAUAUUAUAAAUAUUUUAUAUAUAAUAUUUGCUUGAACGUUGAGGCACAAGUUGUUUGAGAUCUUGUUUUUUGAACGUUCAGCACCACGGACAGCGACCAUUGACAGCUCUUCUGUUCACUGAUUGGCUAAAACAGUCAAAUGCACUUUGGGUUUGAACAUUUUAAAUGUGGCUCAUAUCUCUUCUAAGUCUGACUUUUAUGUUGAAUAAGUGUUUAACUGUAAUUUACAGCUAUAUAACAAAACUUACAUGCGUGGAGGUUAGUUGGCCUCGAAGGUGACAAAUAAUUUACAAUGAUUUUUACCUGUCAGUGGUUCAAUAAUAUGCCAUCAGGUUCAUACUUUUCAACAUGUUUAAUAAUGUAUCUUGUUCUCUGCCUCUUCUGUCUGUGCUGAUAGUUAUUUUUCUUUGAGAAAUAUAAAUGCUUUUGUAGUAGUUUACCAGUGUCUGUGUUUUAAAUUACUUUCUGUAGAAAUUCAUGAAUAUCCCUGUGUGCUUAUAUUAUUCUCUAUUUUAACAUCUUGUCUUCUCUCAUUCUCAUGAUGAAACUGAAGUUAGAAGUAUUACUUCCAAUGUUUAAAGAUUAUGAGCAGAUUAUGUGGAACUGAGUGCCUUUGUUGUGAGUCACUAUUCAUUUAUUAGAAUGCAUGCCAUUUAUACUGA
Molecule: RNA transcript, 6752 nt
Organism: Triplophysa rosa
Lineage: Eukaryota; Metazoa; Chordata; Actinopteri; Cypriniformes; Nemacheilidae
Gene: khdrbs3
Gene name: KH domain containing, RNA binding, signal transduction associated 3
Exons: 12
Source: RefSeq, a predicted model, not a curated record